ACGGCGUUUUUCUCGGAGAAAAAUACCAUCCUUUGGUUCAACAACGGUUGCUGCGUUUUCCACGUUCGGAUACAACCCUGCCCAGUUGCUGUGAGAGAUUGACGAGUGCAAGAAGACCCUCUUUCCAUGUUCCAGACGCAGGCCUUCGCCGAACUGAGAUACAUCGCAAUCGACACACCGGCCGCUUCAGAAUCAGUGACUAGCAUACCCAGCUGCUAUUGG
RNAcentral lists this microRNA precursor (222 nucleotides) under Physcomitrium patens. RNAcentral describes it as "Physcomitrella patens miR899 stem-loop (ppt-MIR899)". Its record names the gene ppt-MIR899. The record is from miRBase by way of RNAcentral. Lineage: Eukaryota; Viridiplantae; Streptophyta; Bryopsida; Funariales; Funariaceae.